GAUGAACGCUGGCGGCGUGCCUAAUACAUGCAAGUCGAGCGAACGGACGAGAAGCUUGCUUCUCUGAUGUUAGCGGCGGACGGGUGAGUAACACGUGGAUAACCUACCUAUAAGACUGGGAUAACUUCGGGAAACCGUAGCUAAUACCGGAUAAUAUUUUGAACCGCAUGGUUCAAAAGUGAAAGACGGUCUUGCUGUCACUUAUAGAUGGAUCCGCGCUGCAUUAGCUAGUUGGUAAGGUAACGGCUUACCAAGGCAACGAUGCAUAGCCGACCUGAGAGGGUGAUCGGCCAAACUGGACCUGGAACCCGGUCCAGACUCCUACGGGAGGCAGCAGUAGGGAAUCUUCCGCAAGGGGCGAAAGCCUGACGGAGCAACGCCGCGUGAGUGAUGAAGGUCUUCGGAUCGUAAAACUCUGUUAUUAGGGAGGAAGAUAUGUGUAAGUAACUGUGCACAUCUUGACGGUACCUAAUCAGAAAGCCACGGCUAACUACGUG
Molecule: ribosomal RNA, 497 nt
Filed under: uncultured bacterium
Lineage: Bacteria
Description: partial 16S ribosomal RNA
Rfam family: Bacterial small subunit ribosomal RNA
Source: RNAcentral